CAACUUUCAACAACGGAUCUCUUGGCUCUCACAUCGAUGAAGAACGCAGCGAAAUGCGAUAAGUAAUGUGAAUUGCAGAAUUCAGUGAAUCAUCGAAUCUUUGAACGCAAAUUGCGCCCUUUGGUAUUCCGAAGGGCAUGCCUGUUUGAGUGUCU
RNAcentral lists this ribosomal RNA (155 nucleotides) under Dioszegia hungarica. Its description in RNAcentral is "5.8S ribosomal RNA". It matches the Rfam family "5.8S ribosomal RNA". Rfam says of the family: 5.8S ribosomal RNA (5.8S rRNA) is a component of the large subunit of the eukaryotic ribosome. It is transcribed by RNA polymerase I as part of the 45S precursor that also contains 18S and 28S rRNA. Lineage: Eukaryota; Fungi; Basidiomycota; Tremellomycetes; Tremellales; Bulleribasidiaceae. RNAcentral also lists the same sequence under 1 other name. The record is from RNAcentral.